GGAGGAGUACUCAAGCGGUUUACGAGGACGGUUUCGAAAACCGUUGUCGCCUUAGGCGACUCGUGAGUUCGAAUCUCACCUCCUCCG
This 87-nucleotide transfer RNA is filed under the name Patescibacteria group bacterium. RNAcentral describes it as "tRNA-Ser". It matches the Rfam family "tRNA". From Rfam's summary of the family: Transfer RNA (tRNA) molecules are approximately 80 nucleotides in length. Their secondary structure includes four short double-helical elements and three loops (D, anti-codon, and T loops). The record is from RNAcentral.